Molecule: ribosomal RNA, 515 nt
Filed under: uncultured bacterium
Lineage: Bacteria
Description: partial 16S ribosomal RNA
Rfam family: Bacterial small subunit ribosomal RNA
Source: RNAcentral
GAUGAACGCUGGCGGUGUGCCUAAUACAUGCAAGUCGAGCGAAUGGAUUAAGAGCUUGCUCUUAUGAAGUUAGCGGCGGACGGGUGAGUAACACGUGGGUAACCUGCCCAUAAGACUGGGAUAACUCCGGGAAACCGGGGCGAAUACCGGAUAACAUUUUGAAACGCAUGGUUCGAAAUUGAAAGGCGGCUUCGGCUGUCACUUAUGGCUGGACCCGCGUCGCAUUAGCUAGUUGGUGCGGUAACGGCUCACCAAGGCAACGAUGCGUAGCCGACCUGAGAGGGUGAUCGGCCACACUGGGACUGAGACACGGCCCAGACUCCUACGGGAGGCAGCAGUAGGGAAUCUUCCGCAAUGGACGAAAGUCUGACGGAGCAACGCCGCGUGAGUGAUGAAGGCUUUCGGGUCGUAAAACUCUGUUGUUAGGGAAGAACAAGUGCUAGUUGAAUAAGCUGGCACCUUGACGGUACCUAACCAGAAAGCCACGGCUAACUACGUGCCAGCAGCCGCCGUAA